Gallus gallus (chicken) is the source of this 2295-nucleotide long non-coding RNA. Lineage: Eukaryota; Metazoa; Chordata; Aves; Galliformes; Phasianidae. The record is from Ensembl.
UUCCUCUUCCCUUUUUCUGUUUAACCCUCUGAUUUUCCCAUCUGUGUCAAAGCAAAAGGUGUGUGAAUCCUAUAAUCACAGAAGAGAGAAGAGCUCUACUCCCUCUGGGAAGGGGGUUUUUGAGAUGUUGAAAUGUGUCAGCCCGGUGAAUUUUGGAUUUCUUAAUUGCUGUUAUCAUGACGAGGAGGGCCUUUGAGAUGAGAUUCAGCUAAGUCUGAAGACUUAUCUGCCAUCGGAAGAUCUCUCUCAGCACUCUGUACUCCUUCAUCUUCAUACCUCAGACUCCAUCUUCAGCAGGACUUCUCUCAUUUGGUAUCAGUUCUGUAGGGCUUUGCCUACCUACAGUCCUGCUACAGCCAAAUUUCAGCUUGAGUAAAAAAGAAAACAGGUACACCAAGAAUACCACACUUCAAACAGAUGGCUGCAAAGUCAACAGGUCCCCUCAGCAUCCCAGCCCAUGGAGUAGGGGCAGGAACACGCUCUGCUCCUCUUGGGAAGACCUCUGCAGCAGGACUGCCUGUGCUGGGCAUCCCCAUGGCAGGUUGCUGCAGGUGGAUUCAAUCCUGCCAGGCUGCUGCUGGAUGAGAUUGCAUCUCUGUGUGGCCCUGUCAUGUGGAAGUUCUGCCAUGUGCUUGAGGAUCUCCGCCACGUGCUCCAUGAUUGCGCUGAGGGAAGCGAGUUUGUAGAAUUUGCUAGAACUGGCUAUUAAACGUGCAGAUGAUUUAAAACAAACAAACAACAAAAAAACUCUGCAUUUACAAGCUCAAUUCCCUGGUGUUGCCCAGGCUUGGCUGCUCCUGCUGACCAGCCUGCUGAGGUUUGGACAGAGUUCCAUGCUAGGUCCUACCCUGUAAAGGUGAGUUACUACUCUGGCAGCAUGUUCUUGAAUAGCACCUUCCAGGUCAGCACAUGUCAAGGAAACAACUAAAGAGCCCCUCUCCCAUCCACUGUAUCUAGCCCUAGGUUUGGCAUGCAUAUUAUCACAUCAGUGCGGUUGAAAGUGACUGGAGAUCAGAGAUCCGCAGAGUCUUGGAAAUUUACCUCCUGCUACAAUGACUGCGUAUCUGUGUCCUUAGAAUAUUAUAAAUUAUAUUCUGGUAAAUAUAAGGGGGCAUAAAGACAUGUGAAAAGUCCACAAGGAAUAUCUUCCAGACCGCAGUGCCCUGGCACCCAUGGAGCUGUGUGAAGAGAGUGGUGAACUGGCACAGUUACAAAAGUGGGUCAACUAACCUAUUAGGUAUUCCAGGUCAGGUACUAAGAAGCAAUAAGCUCUCAACAUUGCUUACACUACAGAUGGGUAAACUUCACGUACUGGCGUUUAUCCCCAACUACCCUGCUAAAGGAAUGUGCUCCAAAAUGGCUUGUGCUGUAGUGGACACAGUCAAGUGCUUUUGGUGGAGGAAAAUAAGUCAGUAACCCCCAAAAGGUCCAGUAUUAAUGGAGCUAAUGCUUCCCCUCCCAUACCUAAUGCAGUAACUAUUCUCUAGGGUAAAGUUUAAUAAAGAAUCAGCCAAGCCCUUGUGUAGCUUGUGGUUUGGCUUCCUGCCCCCUCUGCUCAUCAAGCAGGAAGUUCUCAAAAGAGAGCGCUUUGUGAAGCUACCUUAAGACUGCCUCUUUUUUUCAGUCAAAACUUAGCAUCAGGCCAUCUGGAACUCCUGGAAGCUGACCAGUCAGACUGAUGGUGCCUACAGGAGAUAUUUAAACAACUUCUCUACCUUGAUCAUUUUCCCUCAUCUUUUGUCCUGUACAUCCUUGACUGUUGUUAUUCAGUACUGAGAUACUAUGCUCCUGAUAUCACUGAGAUGGGAGAGACAAGCAAGGAAAAAGAGAUUAAAGAGAGAAGAAGGAAGAGAAGAUGCCAAAGGCAAAAUAAGAGGGAAGAAGCAAAAUAUUUCUGAGAUUUAUUUACUUUACCUACUCGGGAUGCAACGUUUCAGAAAUUCUGAAUAUACUUAAUUUUUCUGGUGUUAUCACAGCCACCAGACAACAGGGAGCCAUGGGCACCCUCUUUCCACUAGCUUUCAAGAUACAUCCAGGAAGCCCAAGGAGGUUCUUGGCACCUGUAAGCAGGAGUAGGCUUGAAGAGAAACUGCUCAGAGCAGGCUGGAAAAACAGUAUAGUUACAAAGUAUUUUUCUGCUUCCCUCUGCUGGCCAGACAACACACAUAGCAAUGUAACUACAACCAAUCAGGGAAGGAUCAGGGUGAAGAAUAUCAAAAGAUAGGAGGAGUCAUAUUGUUAUAUUACUACACAAGCUUUAACUCUGCUGAUUUAUUUGAAUUUGCUGUUGCAUUU